AGUGAACGCUGGCGGUAGGCCUAAUACAUGCAAGUCGAACGGCAGCACAGUAAGAGUUCGCCUCUACUGUUAGCGACUGGCGGAUGGGUGAGGAAUACAUCGCAUUCCUCUUUUUCUUGGGUGACUACGUGGGAAAACAUAUGCUAACACCGCAUAUGUUCAACGGGUUAGAUCAGGGGUUCUUGGCAGUCUUGCCGACACAUAUAGAUGGUGCCGGAUUAGCUAGUUGGCUGGGUAAAGGCCCACCAAGGCGACGAUGCGUAGCUGGUCUGAGAGGAUGAUCAGCCACACUGGAACUGAGACACGGUCCAGACUCCUACGGGAGGCAGCAGUGGGGAAUAUUGGGCAAUGGGCGCAAGCCUGAUCCAGCAAUGCCGCGUGAGUGAAGAAGGCCUUCGGAUUGUAAAGCCCUUUUGUUAGGAAAGAAAAGCAGCAGAUUAAUACCCCGCUGUUCUGACGGUACCCAAAGAAUAAGCACCGGCUAACUUCGUG
Molecule: ribosomal RNA, 492 nt
Filed under: uncultured bacterium
Lineage: Bacteria
Description: partial 16S ribosomal RNA
Rfam family: Bacterial small subunit ribosomal RNA
Source: RNAcentral